Molecule: transfer RNA, 77 nt
Filed under: Desulfovibrio ferrophilus
Lineage: Bacteria; Pseudomonadati; Thermodesulfobacteriota; Desulfovibrionia; Desulfovibrionales; Desulfovibrionaceae
Also listed under: 1 other name
Description: tRNA-Pro
Rfam family: tRNA
About the family: Transfer RNA (tRNA) molecules are approximately 80 nucleotides in length. Their secondary structure includes four short double-helical elements and three loops (D, anti-codon, and T loops). Further hydrogen bonds mediate the characteristic L-shaped molecular structure. tRNAs have two regions of fundamental functional importance: the anti-codon, which is responsible for specific mRNA codon recognition, and the 3' end, to which the tRNAs corresponding amino acid is attached (by aminoacyl-tRNA synthetases). tRNAs cope with the degeneracy of the genetic code in two manners: having more than one tRNA (with a specific anti-codon) for a particular amino acid; and 'wobble' base-pairing, i.e. permitting non-standard base-pairing at the 3rd anti-codon position.
Source: RNAcentral
CGGGAUGUGGCUCAGUCUGGUAGAGCGCUGCGUUCGGGACGCAGAGAUCGCUGGUUCGAAUCCAGUCAUCCCGACCA